UACGGAGGGAGCUAGCGUUGUUCGGAAUUACUGGGCGUAAAGCGCGCGUAGGCGGCUUUGCAAGUUAGAGGUGAAAGCCCGGGGCUCAACCCCGGAAUUGCCUUUAAAACUGCAUCGCUUGAAUCCGGGAGAGGUGAGUGGAAUUCCGAGUGUAGAGGUGAAAUUCGUAGAUAUUCGGAAGAACACCAGUGGCGAAGGCGGCUCACUGGACCGGUAUUGACGCUGAGGUGCGAAAGCGUGGGGAGCAAACAGG
Molecule: ribosomal RNA, 253 nt
Filed under: uncultured bacterium
Lineage: Bacteria
Description: partial 16S ribosomal RNA
Rfam family: Bacterial small subunit ribosomal RNA
Source: RNAcentral